UGGGGACCACGCAGCCGAAUCCAGACC
RNAcentral lists this non-coding RNA (27 nucleotides) under Mus musculus (house mouse). Lineage: Eukaryota; Metazoa; Chordata; Mammalia; Rodentia; Muridae. The record is from RNAcentral.